CAAAUUUGCUAAUGUCAGAGUUUAUUUGAACUGGCCAAAUCAGUGGACACUGUAAUCUAUGAGACUUUGGGAGUUCCAAGAAUAGGACAUAUGAACAUAAGGCAUUUCAACUUUCAACUCUCUAAAACUGCCUGCAGUGCCACUUAACAAUAAUAAUCAAAACAUGCAAUAGAAGAGACACCCAUAGCUUUUCUCAUAGCACGUCAGGUAUAGGCCAGAAUGAAGAUGUGCCACAGCUUAUACAAUGGAAAAAGUGGAUACACAAGGGUUCUCAAUGAUAUCUCCGAAAAGUGAACCCAAGUAAGUUGAGAAAAUAUCUUGAAGAGAAAUGGUCCACCAAAGAUCCAAUCUUCGAAUCUAAUUGCACAAGGAUACAUACAUGAGACUACUGCAUAGACAUUUGGCGUUGAACUGGUUCCCGGCUAGAAGACGAACCCAUCUUGCGAGAUACCUUAGUACUGGAAAUAUCUUUACAAACCUUCCCACUAAUUGUAAAAUGCCUUUUAAGGCGGUUUGUUAAUGAAGAACCAUUAUAAUUCCACCUUGGCACUGCUCGAAGCCAGUUUUUCCUCAACCUUCCCUUAAUGUGAGUAUAGGCUUCACUAUUGUUGUGACUCCCUAGGGCUUCAGAAAUCACUACCCCUCUGUUUCUCCGUAUGGAUCUUAGGGCCAC
This 673-nucleotide unclassified non-coding RNA is filed under the name Hevea brasiliensis (rubber tree). The record is from RNAcentral. Lineage: Eukaryota; Viridiplantae; Streptophyta; Magnoliopsida; Malpighiales; Euphorbiaceae.